RNAcentral lists this ribosomal RNA (384 nucleotides) under uncultured bacterium. RNAcentral's name for it is "bacterial SSU rRNA". It matches the Rfam family "Bacterial small subunit ribosomal RNA", at positions 30 to 414 of the family's 1533-position model. The record is from RNAcentral.
AUUGAACGCUGGCGGCAUGCCUUACACAUGCAAGUCGAACGGCAGCACGGGAGCAAUCCUGGUGGCGAGUGGCGAACGGGUGAGUAAUAUAUCGGAACGUGCCCAGUCGUGGGGAUAACGUAGCGAAAGCUACGCUAAUACCGCAUACGAUCUAUGGAUGAAAGCGGGGGAUCGCAAGACCUCGCGCGAUUGGAGCGGCCGAUAUCAGAUUAGGUAGUUGGUGAGGUAAAGGCUCACCAAGCCGACGAUCUGUAGCUGGUCUGAGAGGACGACCAGCCACACUGGGACUGAGACACGGCCCAGACUCCUACGGAGGCAGCAGUGGGGAAUAUUGGACAAAUGGGCGAAAGACCUGAUCCAGCAAUGCCGCGUGAGUGAUGAAGG